Oncorhynchus tshawytscha (Chinook salmon) is the source of this 1098-nucleotide long non-coding RNA. Lineage: Eukaryota; Metazoa; Chordata; Actinopteri; Salmoniformes; Salmonidae. The record is from Ensembl.
UCGCUUCUGCCGAGGCAAGGGCGCCUGUCGCUUCUGCCGAGGCAAGGGCGCCUGUCGCUUCUGCCGAGGCAAGGGCGCCUGUCGCUUCUGCCGAGGCAUUUGAACCAGAUUCCGCACUUGAGGUACCGUGGCCGGUUGCUUCCGCUGCAGAGGCAAAGUGGCCGGUUGCUUCACCGAAGGUAUUUAGGCCAGUCGUGGCGCUUGAUGAAGCACUGUGGCAAAUUGCUUCACCUAAGGUAUUUGGGCCAGCUGCCACACUUGUCGAGGCAUUAUGGGUGGCCGCUUGCGUGGCACUGUGGCCAGUUGCUUCCUCUGCAGAGGCACUGUGGCCAGUUACUUCACCUGAGGCACUUGGGCCAGUCGUGGCGCUUGAUGAAGCAUUGUGGCCAGUUGCUUCAGCUAAGGUAUUUGGGCCAGCUACCACACUUGUCGAGGCAUUAUGGGUGGCCGCUUGCGUGGCACUGUGGCCAGUUGCUUCCUCUGCAGAGGCACUGUGGCCAGUUGCUUCACCUGAGGCACUUGGGCCAGUCGUGGCGCUUGAUGAAGCAUUGUGGCCAGUUGCUUCAGCUAAGGUAUUUGGGCCAGUCGUGAUGCUUGCUGAGGCAUUGUGGUUGGCCGCUUCUGAGGCAUUAUGAGUGGCCGUUUGCAUGGCACUGUGUCCAGUUGCUUCCGCUGCCGAGGCACCGUGGCCAGUUGCUUCACCUAAGGUAUUUGGGCCAGUCGUGACGCUUACAGAGGCGUUAUGGGUGGCUGCUUCACCUGCUGAGGCACGGGAGCCGGUAGCUUCACCUGUCGAGGCACGGGAGCCAGUAGCUUCCGCUGCAUUGUGGCCAGUUCCUUUUACUUGAUUUUGGGGAAUAUAUCUAUAAUUACCUACAAAAGAAAAUAAUACGUUUCAAAUUGUAAAAUGCCAGCAUUUGAAGCCAUUUAAUUUCACUGAAUUAAAUGUGCAGAACAAAACACACCUUUAGGUGGAGGAUAACAGGUUAUCCCUCCAAUUAGCAGGCAACAAAUCCAAGAAAUUCUAAAUAAAAAUAAAAACAUCCUAGUCAGUUAAAUACAGCUACCUGUAAAACAUGGAAGACAAGGGAAUCAAAC